AUUGAACGCUGGCGGCAGGCCUAACACAUGCAAGUCGAGCGGAUGAAGGGAGCUUGCUCCUGGCUUCAGCGGCGGACGGGUGAGUAAUGCCUAGGAAUCUGCCUGGUAGUGGGGGAUAACGUCCGGAAACGGGCGCUAAUACCGCAUACGUCCUGAUGGAGAACGUGGGGGAUCUUCGGACCUCACGCUAUCAGAUGAGCCUAGGUCGGAUUAGCUAGUUGGUGGGGUAAAGGCCUACCAAGGCGACGAUCCGUAACUGGUCUGAGAGGAUGAUCAGUCACACUGGAACUGAGACACGGUCCAGACUCCUACGGGAGGCAGCAGUAGGGAAUAUUGGACAAUGGGCGAAAGCCUGAUCCAGCCAUGCCGCGUGUGUGAAGAAGGUCUUCGGAUUGUAAAGCACUUUAAGUUGGGAGGAAGGGCAGUAAGUUAAUACCUGGCUGUUUUGACGUUACCAACAGAAUAAGCACCGGCUAACUUCGUG
This 484-nucleotide ribosomal RNA is filed under the name uncultured bacterium. Its description in RNAcentral is "partial 16S ribosomal RNA". It matches the Rfam family "Bacterial small subunit ribosomal RNA", at positions 30 to 507 of the family's 1533-position model. The record is from RNAcentral.